GAUGAACGCUGGCGGCGUGCUUAACACAUGCAAGUCGAACGGGAAACCUUUUAUUGAAGCUUCGGCAGAUUUAGCUGGUUUCUAGUGGCGGACGGGUGAGUAACGCGUGGGUAACCUGCCUUAUACAGGGGGAUAACAGUCAGAAAUGACUGCUAAUACCGCAUAAGCGCACAGGGCCGCAUGGCCCGGUGUGAAAAACUCCGGUGGUAUAAGAUGGACCCGCGUUGGAUUAGCUUGUUGGUGGGGUAACGGCCCACCAAGGCGACGAUCCAUAGCCGGCCUGAGAGGGUGAACGGCCACAUUGGGACUGAGACACGGCCCAGACUCCUACGGGAGGCAGCAGUGGGGAAUAUUGCACAAUGGGGGAAACCCUGAUGCAGCGACGCCACGUGAAGGAAGAAGUAUCUCGGUAUGUAAACUUCUAUCAGCAGGGAAGAUAGUGACGGUACCUGACUAAGAAGCCCCGGCUAACUACGUGCCAGCAGCCGCGGUAAUACGUAGGGGGCAAGCGUUAUCCGGAUUUACUGGGUGUAAAGGGAGCGUAGACGGUGUGGCAAGUCUGAUGUGAAAGGCAUGGGCUCAACCUGUGGACUGCAUUGGAAACUGUCAUACUUGAGUGCCGGAGGGGUAAGCGGAAUUCCUAGUGUAGCGGUGAAAUGCGUAGAUAUUAGGAGGAACACCAGUGGCGAAGGCGGCUUACUGGACGG
RNAcentral lists this ribosomal RNA (707 nucleotides) under uncultured Lachnospiraceae bacterium. Its description in RNAcentral is "bacterial SSU rRNA". It matches the Rfam family "Bacterial small subunit ribosomal RNA", at positions 28 to 736 of the family's 1533-position model. The record is from RNAcentral. Lineage: Bacteria; Bacillati; Bacillota; Clostridia; Lachnospirales; Lachnospiraceae.